CCACUAAGAAAUGAAUCAGUGUCUUGUUUUGAGUGAGUGUGCAGGACUCAAGAUGUGUCUUAAACUUGUCUGGAAUCUGCAGUUGAGGUCACCUGGAUGUUGACACUUAUCACAACUCUGUUUUUCUCAUGGUGCCUCUUACUUGCAGCUGGGUGGCAUUCAUGUGGGCUCUGAAACUGAAGGGAGCCAAGUCACAAAAAUGUAAGAGGACACUGGACUGUGAGAAUAUUUACUUCACACAGUAUGUUCAAGGCAAUAAACAAGGCAGCCACAACGAAAAAGCAUUUGAAUGAAAUGUUUACGAGGCCGAACCCUAACGAUGACUCAUGGACACCUUUGGAAAGGGAGCCCAUGCUUUUGGAAACCGUUAGUUUCAUUUCAUCAGAUUUGCAGUUUUAUUACACUGAGCUGCAUCUCUGUGACACUGACAGAAAAUUGAAAAGGAAAAUUCUGCAAAUUACUGGAGAUUUUUCUGUUGAGUUUUUUUUUUAUAGACUCAUAAAUAGCUCACCCAAUUUCAUGUGAUUUAAGUAGUCAGUCAUGAUUAACCUUCCUAACUGCUUUUGUGUCUUGAACACAUACCUACAAAGAUAAACUUCACUUGCAAUAAUUUGCAAAAAUCUAUACACUAAAAACAAGGGUGAUAAGCUGGCCCAAUUAUGUUAUGCGUCUUUUAUGCUUCCCCAGGCAGACCAUGAAUAUGUGUGUGUGUUUGUGUCUAUUUCUUUUUUUUUUAAGUAGUUGCUAUUUAAAAUGUCAAGAUAAAUGCAAGGCAGGUAUGAUUUUGAUAAUAGCAUGUGAACGGGAGGCUCAACAGAAGCUGGCUUUGAAAUGAUGCUUAACAUUUGCUAGUCCCCACAAGGUAGCUCCUCGACGGUUGACAGCUAAUAGAAGAAUUUAAAAAUGAGCCCUUUAGAAAUUGGAGUCAAAGAAGAAUAAAUGCCAAGCACAGAGAGCACACACGUCUUCCUAGCUGAUGGAAUCCAAGCUUGUCAGAAGCACAAGAAACUGCUUGGUACACUUCUCAAAGGCUCUGAAAACAAAUGUAUUUGGUUCAUAUUUCUCUUGAGAAAAGUUUAGCAACCCGACAACGCUUUUGCUCUAAGCUUUUGUAGUAGAUUUAAGGGGAAAAAAAACAUUUCUUGUUCUCUAGAAAGUUUUCUCUUUCUGACCUGUGACAAAAUGAAGACUUUAUGUCAUAGGCAGCACGGUCCAGUUUGAUCUGGUUUUCAUUCUCCAUGGAGGUUCCGCAUUUUCUCAUGUCUCUCAACCCCCACACAGCACCCAGGAAUGUCUAAGCACAAUUUCCACAAGCAUCUUGUAAGGGGAGGGCUGAGAUUAGUCCAGGUUCUCUCUUGCCCCUAGGCCCUUUGCUCGAAGGUGAUGAAGGUGGUUUUGGUCACAGAUCCUCUCUGCUGGGGUUCUGUAACACUCUAGGAAUUAGGGGAAAACCUUUUCCAUAAUUGAGAGCAAGUGACACACCCACUUUUCAGGUUCAUCCACCUCCCAGUGGAAUGAUUUCAGUCAAAUGAGAAAGAAAAUAUGUUUGAUCUUUAAUAAUACAGCUCAUAUAAUACAGUAGAUAUAGUUUAUACUGAAGUUACAAUAUAGAUAGAUACAAGAUAGGUGCCUUUUUGAUUAUGCUUGUUUAUCAUUAUGGUCUUGGAAAGGAAACCAAGCAAGCAAACUUCUGCAUAUUCUAUAACAAUAUUUUAUGAUACAUGAUUGAUAUUUUUUAUGGUGAGAAUUGGGAUGCCCUUGACAGAAAGAUAUUACAGGUGGUAGCUGGUUGUAUUUUCCUUCUAAAGGUUUAUAAUAUUAGAAAAAUGCUGACUUACUCAAUUUUUUGAAAAGGUUUUUUUUUGUGGAUUUAUAUAUAGUCGAGAUAUAUAGCAUUAAGUUUAGGUUUGGGGUUUAAAAUACUUACAGUGAGCUAGAUUAGUUAUAUUAUGAGGCUGAAUUCCCUGCAUAAGAUAAACUGUAUGACUUGAUUAUAUUUUAACUCUUUGCUUCUGAUAAUCUGUCCGUGGAUGUGUUGCACUGAUAAUCCGAGUUAUCAUUGCAUUGUUUGGGGGUGGUUCAACAUGAUGAUAGAGCUUCAGUUAAGUAGGAAGCUAUGUAGAUGAAUUUAAAGAUGCUAAAAGUGAAAGUCUCUCUUAAGUAUUCCAUGACCCUUAGGACCUUUUGACAGGCGAGUAGCUGUCAAUAACUGAUGACCAAAGAAGUCAAGACGUUGUGUGAAACUUCUGUGGUCAUUGUUCCUGGAUGUAUAAGACCACUACAGUGGUCAUUCCUGGAAGGUUCUCUGGGCAAAUGUCCCUCCCAAUCUUCUGUAUAUCUACCAGAGCUCCAGAGCUCCCCAUGCUUCUUGUGUCUGGUGUAUUGUAUCCUGGUUGCAUAGCACACACCCACUGUUGUCAUUAUUGAUUGUUAAAGAUGAUUUCCUUUAAAAGAAAGAGAGAAAACUGCACCGCAGCAUUCUUCCUCCGUGUCCGUACAAUGAAUUGCCAAGCAUUUUGGAAGUAGCACCAAGUGUGGAACAGGCAUGAUAUUUGUGGAACUGUUGGCUUUUGACCUGUGAUAAAAACACAAAUUCGAACGAUGCAGUUUGGCUUCUGUUUGCUUUGAAAGUAUGCACAGUUGUGGCUUGUGAUUUAGUUGUAGAACUGUACUGACUUUGAGAACAUAAUGAUCUUGAAAGAAGUAUUAAAUGAUUUUUCUCCCCAAUGGAAGGGAAUCACAGAAUGAUAUACGGUUACUAGUAUAAUUUGGCUUUUGUUAUGCAAGUUGUUAACACCAGCUAUUAAAAUAUAUUUUAGUAGAAAUGCUUUAACUCAUGUCUUUUUCCUCUACACUGUGAAUCUUAAGCCUUGGUGGACCAGAGACACAUUGUGAUGUCCAAAGGACUAACCUAUGCAAAUGAGUUCACAUCUUAUAUUGAUGUCACAGUAAAGGUGUGGUGAGGCGUUAUUUCUCCUCCUAAGGUACAACAGUAUUGAAAUAACGAAGGAAGCCCGGCCUCCCAUGCACUGACUGCAGUCUCCCACAAUCCCUUCAAGGUUACCGAAAUCAUUAGCACUUAUGUAAAUCAGAGUGGUAUCAAUUGAAGCUACUUGAAUGAUUCCGGGCAGAAAAUGACAGGCAUCUUGACUGGCUUUCAUAAAACUAUGUUCUCACAUAUUCUCUGUUCAGGGUGUUGGCAUUCUGUGUCUUCUAUCUGUAUUUGUAAAGCCUUAUGAUGAAUUGAUUUCCUAUCAACACACUCGGUUUGCUUAAAUAAAUUCAGGAUGUAACAC
This 3296-nucleotide long non-coding RNA is filed under the name Rattus norvegicus (Norway rat). RNAcentral describes it as "long non-coding RNA NONRATT013149". Lineage: Eukaryota; Metazoa; Chordata; Mammalia; Rodentia; Muridae. The record is from RNAcentral.